GUAGAGGUUGGUUCACGUGUCCUUGGAUCGUCCUUGAAGGUCUUCUAACGCUCCGAACUCGCGGUGGAUCGAACUACAAACGAGCACGAUCGCAAAUCCACCGUUCAAGUCCCUCUAGAAUAAUAGGUUAAUGGAGGAUGUGGUUUCUCUCUUUUUAUUUCUUAUUCCCUUUUCUUUUUGUUCCGUACAUUACGUUAUGUGGGAUCGCCCGCAUAUUUAUAAGGGAUUCCAAAAUCCUAAUAGCGUAAGAGAUAAGGCCAAAUCGGUUAUUAACUGUUAUCCUAAUAUGAUUAGAAUUUAUCUCUAAUUAGCUUUCCAAUUU
RNAcentral lists this long non-coding RNA (322 nucleotides) under Ananas comosus (pineapple). RNAcentral describes it as "long non-coding RNA (ACOM_LNC021132)". Lineage: Eukaryota; Viridiplantae; Streptophyta; Magnoliopsida; Poales; Bromeliaceae. The record is from RNAcentral.